This 357-nucleotide ribosomal RNA is filed under the name Triticum aestivum (bread wheat). RNAcentral describes it as "partial small subunit ribosomal RNA". Lineage: Eukaryota; Viridiplantae; Streptophyta; Magnoliopsida; Poales; Poaceae. The record is from RNAcentral.
AUGAGAGUGCAGGAAUGUGGGCCUCAUCUCUUCUACAAAUGCCGCUACAUACGAAGGCUUUGGUCUUUGAUCAUUGACAAAUACCAUAUUAUCGGUCUUCACACCAACGGUUGGCCUCUGUUCGACUCAGUUGAGGCUUGGUGGGCAAGUAUCUGCGACAACGCCACGCCAAAUCACCAAGCUAAGGCGUCCCUUACCAUGCUUGUUUCGUGGACUGUCUGGAACGAGCGAAACGCAAGGGUCUUCAAGCACAAGAGCGCUCCUCCAACUAUUUUGCUUGCCUCCAUAGAGACCGAGGCCAACCUUUGGAUCAUCGCCGGUGCCAAAAAAUUAGGGUCCUUUAUUUUGCGAGAGUGA